GGUUCUUUAUAUGACGCAAAAUAUUACUAACCAGUAAAAGCGAAUGAAACCACCCUCUGUCUUCUAAGAAUUUUAUAUUGUUUGCUGAGUCUUUGAUCUUCAAUGAUGUGUUUAGUAUUAUUUGUUACUUUCAUAUUUAUCCAUGUAUGCGUUUCUUUGUGCUUAGUGUUCUUGUGAGUGUUUGUACUGUAUUCCUGUCCCAUAUUAUUGUAAUUUUAGCAGUAUUGUUUAACAUUGUCAUUUAAUUGGUAGGUUUUGCUAGCCAUAACAGCAGGUUCAAUUCACCAUCAAUACUUAAAAUGUCCGAUACAAAGACAGGAAUAUGCAGUUGUAAUCAAAAGUAUCUUUCUUUGUAUGUUGGCUUUGUUGUUCAAUUGCACUUAUAGUUGUUUGUUUUCCUUGGUUAGGGUUUGUUAACUGGAGGUUUUUGCAGUUGAUUUUAUUUAAUGAUGUUGUAUUUGCCAUUAUGGAUAUUCUUUUUUUACUCUCAUGAGCCUCUUCUAACCGAAAU
This 511-nucleotide long non-coding RNA is filed under the name Mytilus galloprovincialis (Mediterranean mussel). The record is from RNAcentral. Lineage: Eukaryota; Metazoa; Mollusca; Bivalvia; Mytilida; Mytilidae.